UGUUAAGAAAAAUAUGAUGGACACACGUUUUCUUCGCCUUUAUAUUGUUGGCGCUGUGUUUGCUGCUGUCGUCCUUUUCCUCGGCUUCGCCGGGUGCAUAAUAAUCUGUGGAAAGGUGUGUACGAGAAAGUCGGACAUGGAGGGCAAUGUACCUAUGGACGCAGCGGCUACAACCAUGGAAGAAAAGGUACUUCUCUAACAUGAGCAUGACCCCUACAGUUGAGGAGGGAAUGGACUUGGUCGAGACCAUGGCCUCAAUGAAAAACCAGGACCUGGAACUGCUGAGACUGAAACAAAGAAUUUGAUAAUCUGUGGUCGUCGGAGUACUACUAUAUUUUUGUAUGUCAAUAAAAAGGUCAUUUGGUUGAGUACUCUACAUAAUGAACUCUCAAUCAUAAGCCUGGUUUUAAUUAAGGUUUAUCUAUGUACUCUACAUAAUGAUCAUAGUGUCAAAAUGUCUAGCAA
Molecule: long non-coding RNA, 465 nt
Organism: Prunus avium (sweet cherry)
Lineage: Eukaryota; Viridiplantae; Streptophyta; Magnoliopsida; Rosales; Rosaceae
Source: RefSeq, a predicted model, not a curated record